ACGUAGGGUGCAAGCGUUAAUCGGAAUUACUGGGCGUAAAGCGAGCGCAGGCGGUUAUGUAAGACAGAUGUGAAAUCCCCGGGCUUAACCUGGGAACUGCAUUUGUGACUGCAUAGCUAGAGUGUGUCAGAGGGGGGUGGAAUUCCACGUGUAGCAGUGAAAUGCGUAGAGAUGUGGAGGAACACCGAUGGCGAAGGCAGCCCCCUGGGAUAACACUGACGCUCAUGCUCGAAAGCGUGGGGAGCAAACAGGAUUAGAUACCCUGGUAGUCCACGCCCUAAACGAUGUCAACUGGUUGUUGGGUCUUCACUGACUCAGUAACGAAGCUAACGCGUGAAGUUGACCGCCUGGGGAGUACGGCCGCAAGGUUG
Molecule: ribosomal RNA, 371 nt
Filed under: uncultured bacterium
Lineage: Bacteria
Description: bacterial SSU rRNA
Rfam family: Bacterial small subunit ribosomal RNA
Source: RNAcentral